GCAUGCCUUAACAUGCAAGUCGAACGGUAACAGGUCUUCGGAUGCUGACGAGUGGCGAACGGGUGAGUAAUACAUCGGAACGUGCCCGAUCGUGGGGGAUAACGCAGCGAAAGCUGUGCUAAUACCGCAUACGAUCUACGGAUGAAAGCGGGGGAUCGCAAGACCUCGCGCGGACGGAGCAGGCCGAUGGCAGAUUAGGUAGUUGGUGGGAUAAAAGCUUACCAAGCCGACGAUCUGUAGCUGGUCUGAGAGGACGACCAGCCACACUGGGACUGAGACACGGCCCAGACUCCUACGGGAGGCAGCAGUGGGGAAUUUUGGACAAUGGGCGCAAGCCUGAUCCAGCCAUGCCGCGUGCAGGAUGAAGGCCUUCGGGUUGUAAACUGCUUUUGGUCGGAACGAAAAAGCUCU
RNAcentral lists this ribosomal RNA (411 nucleotides) under uncultured bacterium. RNAcentral describes it as "bacterial SSU rRNA". It matches the Rfam family "Bacterial small subunit ribosomal RNA", at positions 42 to 457 of the family's 1533-position model. The record is from RNAcentral.